This 553-nucleotide ribosomal RNA is filed under the name Gerrhosaurus nigrolineatus (black-lined plated lizard). Its description in RNAcentral is "partial 16S ribosomal RNA". It matches the Rfam family "Bacterial large subunit ribosomal RNA", at positions 1812 to 2627 of the family's 2925-position model. The record is from RNAcentral. Lineage: Eukaryota; Metazoa; Chordata; Lepidosauria; Squamata; Gerrhosauridae.
AACAUAGCCUUUAGCAAAAAGUAUUAAAGGUCCGACCUGCCCAGUGAAUUUUUAAACGGCCGCGGUAUCCCAACCGUGCAAAGGUAGCGCAAUCACUUGUCUCCUAAAUAGAGACUAGUAUGAACGGUUUAAUGAGGACCAAUCUGUCUCCUGCAGAAAAUCUGUAAAACUGAACCCCCAGUCAAAAUGCUGGGCUGACCCUAUAAGACGAGAAGACCCUGUGGAGCUUUUAAACUAAACCACAACCCAUGUUCAACCUGUUAGAAAGUUUUUAGUUGGGGCGACUCUGGAGACAAAAACAACCCCCAGACACAGGACCAAUUUCCUAACAUGGCCAACAAGCCUAUCAUAAAACCUGACCCGGUUCUCACCGACAAACGAACCAAGUUACCCCAGGGAUAACAGCGCUAUCUUCUUUUAGAGUCCCUAUCAACAAGAAGGUUUACGACCUCGAUGUUGGAUCAGGACACCCAAAUGGUGCAGCCGCUAUUAACGGUUCGUUUGUUCAACGAUUAACAGUCCUACGUGAUCUGAGUUCAGACCGGAGAAAUCC